This is a long non-coding RNA of Papaver somniferum (opium poppy), 3174 nucleotides long. RefSeq lists it as uncharacterized. Lineage: Eukaryota; Viridiplantae; Streptophyta; Magnoliopsida; Ranunculales; Papaveraceae. The record is from RefSeq and is a predicted model, not a curated record. The transcript is spliced from 5 exons.
UUUCCCAUUUUUUUCACACGAAUCUUCCGCGAAACAAAAGAAAAAAGAAAACUCUGUUUUCUUUUCCUCCUUCCGUUCAGCUUCUCUCUUCUUCACUAUUAACUUUCGGCUAGGGUUCUAGCCAUUUCGAUCUAUCUAAUCCCUUUCCGCUCUAUUUUCCUCUCGCGUUUUCUUUUCUUCUUUGGGUUAGGGUUCUUCUGUUUCAUUGUACAGGGAAGCAUAUUCUUCUGUGUUGAUUUUAGGGUUUUUUUACGGUUUGAUAUUAUGAUUUCCAUUGAAGGGAGGUAUAUUCAUGAAACAGAAAUUGAGGUUUGCUUAUUUGGAUGUUUCGAUUUUGCAGGGUAGGGUUUAUUGAGGUUUCGCUUUUCACUUCAAUCAAAAUCACGGGCUUCCGCUGGAUUUUGUAUAAGGCUUCUGAUAGGAAUUCAAAUUUUGCAAACAUGUCAAUUGUUUGGUACAGAUAACUUCAACACCUUAUGCUCUAUUCGAUUUAGGAACUUCAUGUUUGUGUGAUUCGAUAGGUUACUUAAAUCCUUGAUUGAUUUUGUUCUAAAUACCUGACCCACUGAACUAUCAAGCACAAUUGGUAAAAGAAAUGAGAUCUAGAUAGAUAAGUAUAUGUUAGGCCUAAUAAGCUAUACUAUGAGAAACUCAUAUGUAAAAGAUUUAGAUGUGGCCCUACAAGCAAAAUUGCCCCACAUCACAUAACUCCUGGAUUAGUUACAAUAGAGCCUCAAACCAUUGGGUAGAGGGGACUAAUAUUAUCCAUUUGUUUUGAUUCAUAUAAGUGAUUACCACCUGCUGUUUCAUACAAAACUGAAAGCCCUAAUCACCUUUCUUUUUUUUGCAUUAUGGAAUACAAAGUUCCAGAGAGAUGAAUUGUAUUCUAAAGUCUAUAAGAAUUUUUAAAUCAAUAUAUAUAUAUAUCUCUUUUACAGUGUUUUCCUUUAAUGUUUAACCAGAAAUUUGUAGAAGCUUCGAAGAUAGUUUGACCCUGGCAGUAACUGUUUUGCUGAAUGUAUAGUCAUUUGUUUGAAUAAUAACUGAUUUGAAGUGAUUUGGAGGUUCAGCAGGCUCGGUACCAGUGGUCUUACUGCCCUUAUUACUGGAAAUAAACAUCUCUCUCUUUUAGUGCCCGAGUGUUUGGUUUGUGAAUACCUGAUGCUCAUGGAAGGUUUCGCCUCGCCUUAUACCCUACCCCUAGUUUCCGUUUCUCUAUAUCUAUCUCUCUGUUAGAUUGGUGAUACCAUAGAUUUCAUUAUAUCUCUUUUACUGUUUUAUCGAUUUUUGCUGAAAAUGGAUAAAUAACUAAGCUAUUGAGAAACCCUACUAGCCAUCGGAGACACAUACACGUGAAUCUACUCUUAUUCAAAUUGCAAUGGAAAAAGCUUCAAUCUUAUUUUGCCAGACAAAUUCAGCUGAAAAAUCAAAAGUUUCCCAGAAUAUUGGGUUUCUUCCACAUUUCACCAAAGGUGCUUAGGCAUAGAGGAGGUGGCAGUGGCAGAGGCGGUGGAAAGAAAAAGAACCCUCCAAAAAGAGGUUAAGAAGUUAUUUGAUCAUUUUGAAGAGCUUGCAGACGCGGCAUCCACAAAUGAUAACAAGUGCAAUGAGAAAAAAGAAAUGAAUUGUUGAAUAGUUGAUUGUAAUAAGUAAAGAGGAACCCGAUCACUUUAUUAGUUAAUGCAAUGAUGACUAUGGUAAUGAUUUAUGUGUCAAUUUGUGAGUAUCCUUGAUUUCUUUUUUUAAGUUGAAUGUCAUGAAUAUAUUCAGGCGGUGGCAGUGGCAGUGGCAGUGGCAGAGGCGGUGGAAAGAAUUGGCAACUAAUUUGUGAGUAUCCUUGAUUUCUUUUUUUAAAAAUGGCUUAAUGAAUGGGUGAAGUUCACUUCUGCUUGAGCUUGCUGGCUGAAGUCUACUCGUCUGGAAAUGCACAUCUUAGAGUGUAAACACUUUUGCUCUAAAUUUAAAAGUCCUAUAAUUUGUCUGUGUUUUUAAUUCAAUAACUACGAGACGUGUUUGAUGAAUCUUAUCCAGGGUAAUUACCCUAUGCGGAAUAAUUUCACUAAGGCGGAACUUCCUCCGCGGAAGGACAUGAUAACUAAUAUCCUUCAUGAAUCAACAUGAAAUCAUUACCUAAUGCCAACGCUUCUUGGGGGCAAGGCUCUAGGUGAUACCCAUUGCUUAAGAUCAGGCUCGAUGAUGGCUCAAGGAAACAAGGUACAUGCAUAGCAUAUCAAUGAAUUUUGGCAAUACUCUUAAAUAGAUUCUUUUAUACAUUUGUGAGAAUCACUAAGUAAAAUGCUAGCUGUUGAAAACCUCAUCCUCUGGUCUUGCUUCCCAUCUACUGCUCCCUGAUCUCUUUUGCAUACUAUUAUUUGUUUUUGCGUUGCCAUGUAUUUAUAACUACAAUAUCUCAUGUAAAAUGUAACUUGGGUUUCUUUUGAUGGUGCGAAAGUUUAAUGCUGCGAAAAACCAAAAGCUGAGAACAGAUGUGCGGAUAUGGACAUCAGAUGUACAGAACAUCUCCCAUGCUUGAUAUUUGGAGAAACACAUUGGAAUGAAAAAACACAGUGAAUGGAGGCGAGGUGAAGCCGAAGAUAGGGGCGAAGCCGUCCAACACAAAAUCAAAAAGCAUCGGGGCGAGGCAAAGCGCCGAAGAUAGGGGCGAAGCCGUCCAACACAAAAUCAAAAAGCAUCGGGGCGAGGCAAAGCCGAGCCACACCUAAUCAAAAACAUGCCCCGACAGGACGGGACGAAGCCCCACGACACCUAAUAAAGAUUGCACGAUGGAGCGAGGCGAAGCCAUAUCACACCAAAUGAAUAGUGAUGGUUUUCGGGUCUGCCCGGUGCGUAGCACGGGCAUAAAAUCUAGUAUUUAUAUAGGGGAUGAACAACACCAAAAGUAGGAGGGCGUAAAGCCAAAAACUGUUUCAUUUCGUUGCCGAUCAAUGCAAUUGAAGCUCAGCCUUGAACUCACACACAGACUAUUUUUUUCUUUGCAAUUAAUGGCAUUGAAUUCACACACCAACUGUUUCAUUUCGUUAUACCCUUACGCAUGAAGAAUCUGUCCAAACGAUCCAUCAUAUUCCUAGGUCAAUGGAAUUAAACAGUCAAGAAUCUCUGAUCGACCCGGUAAAAUCCCAGGCAUCUUAAAUUAGGGUUCUUAUUAUUUUCUUU